This 598-nucleotide long non-coding RNA is filed under the name Sus scrofa (pig). Its description in RNAcentral is "lncRNA (ENSSSCG00070016654.1)". Lineage: Eukaryota; Metazoa; Chordata; Mammalia; Artiodactyla; Suidae. The record is from RNAcentral.
UUCUUUCCUUCUACUAACUUUAGGUCUUGUCUGUUCUCUCUCGAGCUGCUUUAGAUAUAAAGUUAGCUUGUUUAUUUUGAGCUUUUUAUUUUUUCCUGAGGUGGGCUUGUAUUGCUAUAAACUUUCCUCUUAGAAUGGCUUUUGCUGCAUCCCAUAGGUUUUGGAGUGUCAUAUAUUCGUUGUCAUUUGCUUCUAGGUAUUUUUAAUUUCCUCUUUGAUUUCUUCAGUGAUCCAUUGGUUGGAUCUAGAGGUGAUGUUUUUGGUAAACAGGCGGGGUUUGUGUUUGCCGAGUUCCUUUUACUUCUUUUAAUCUUUCCUUAGUGCACUCCUGUGUUGGGUUAACAAUAUAAUUAAUAAACGUUUUAGUGUUAUUUUGGUUUAUUGGUUGUUAAUUAUCAGUAUAUUAUUAGUUACUGAUGUAAGCGUGUGCAAGGAGAAAGGCUUCUUGUUACUCAUAUUAACAUUAUUGCUUCUAUGUUUCAAUAGAUUAGUCCGAUAUUGGGCUAGGAGUUUGCUAUUAGUUUUUGGGGUAUUUUUAAGGUUGAACUAAAAUUCUUUCUCGGACAACCAGCUAUCACCAGGCUCGUUAGGCUUUUCA